AAGGAAUUUUCCCCAAUGGGCUCACGCCUGAGGGAGCAACGCCGCGUGCAGGACGACGGCCUUCGGGUUGUAAACUGCUUUUGGGUGGGACGAUGAUGACGGUACCGCCCGAAGAAGCCCCGGCUAACUCCGUGCCAGCAGCCGCGGUAAGACGGAGGGGGCAAGCGUUGUCCGGAAUCACUGGGCGUAAAGCGCCCGUAGGCGGUGCGGUGCGUCGGUGCUGAAAGCGCCGGGCUUAACCCGGCGAG
RNAcentral lists this ribosomal RNA (248 nucleotides) under uncultured Chloronema sp. RNAcentral's name for it is "partial 16S ribosomal RNA". It matches the Rfam family "Bacterial small subunit ribosomal RNA", at positions 356 to 621 of the family's 1533-position model. The record is from RNAcentral. Lineage: Bacteria; Bacillati; Chloroflexota; Chloroflexia; Chloroflexales; Oscillochloridaceae.